Molecule: ribosomal RNA, 405 nt
Filed under: uncultured bacterium
Lineage: Bacteria
Description: bacterial SSU rRNA
Rfam family: Bacterial small subunit ribosomal RNA
Source: RNAcentral
UAGGGAAUUUUGCGCAAUGGGGGAAACCCUGACGCAGCAACGCCGCGUGAUUGAUGAAGCCCUUCGGGGUGUAAAGAUCUGUCAGUGGGGACGAAACUUGACGGUACCCACAGAGGAAGCACCGGCUAACUCCGUGCCAGCAGCCGCGGUAAUACGGAGGGUGCAAGCGUUGUCCGGAAUCAUUGGGCGUAAAGAGUUCGUAGGCGGUUUGUUAAGUUUGGUGUUAAAUGCAGAGGCUCAACUUCUGUUCGGCAUCGGAUACUGGCAGACUAGAAUGCGGUAGAGGUAAAGGGAAUUCCUGGUGUAGCGGUGAAAUGCGUAGAUAUCAGGAGGAACAUCGGUGGCGUAAGCGCUUUACUGGGCCGUAAUUGACGCUGAGGAACGAAAGCCGGGGUAGCAAAUGGG